AUUGAACGCUGGCGGCAUGCCUUACACAUGCAAGUCGAACGGCAGCACGGGAGCAAUCCUGGUGGCGAGUGGCGAACGGGUGAGUAAUGUAUCGGAACGUACCUUUCAGUGGGGGAUAACGUAGCGAAAGUUACGCUAAUACCGCAUAUUCUGUGAGCAGGAAAGCAGGGGAUCGCAAGACCUUGCGCUGAUUGAGCGGCCGAUAUCAGAUUAGCUAGUUGGUGAGGUAAAGGCUCACCAAGGCGACGAUCUGUAGCGGGUCUGAGAGGAUGAUCCGCCACACUGGAACUGAGACACGGUCCAGACUCCUACGGGAGGCAGCAGUGGGGAAUUUUGGACAAUGGGCGCAAGCCUGGUCCAGCCAUGCCGCGUGAGUGAAGAAGGCCUCGGUUGUAAG
Molecule: ribosomal RNA, 397 nt
Filed under: uncultured bacterium
Lineage: Bacteria
Description: bacterial SSU rRNA
Rfam family: Bacterial small subunit ribosomal RNA
Source: RNAcentral